AUACGUAGGGAGCGAGCGUUGUCCGGAAUUACUGGGUGUAAAGGGAGCGUAGGCGGGAGUGCAAGUCAGAUGUGAAAUACAUGGGCUCAACCCAUGGGCUGCAUUUGAAACUGCAUUUCUUGAGUGAAGUAGAGGUAAGCGGGAUUCCUGGUGUAGCGGUGAAAUGCGUAGAUAUCAGGAGGAACACCGGUGGCGAAGGCGGCUUACUGGGCUUUUACGGACGCUGAGGCUCGAAAGCGUGGGGAGCAAACAGGAUUAGAUACCCUGGUAGUCCACGCUGUAAACGAUGAUUCCUAGGUGUGGGGGGACUGACCCCUUCCGUGCCGCAGUUAACACAAUAAGUAAUCCACCUGGGGAGUACGGCCGCAAGGUUGAAACUCAAAUGAAUUGACGGGG
RNAcentral lists this ribosomal RNA (396 nucleotides) under uncultured bacterium. Its description in RNAcentral is "partial 16S ribosomal RNA". It matches the Rfam family "Bacterial small subunit ribosomal RNA", at positions 523 to 918 of the family's 1533-position model. The record is from RNAcentral.